Neomonachus schauinslandi (Hawaiian monk seal) is the source of this 103-nucleotide small nuclear RNA. The record is from RefSeq and is a predicted model, not a curated record. NCBI's taxonomy places the organism in Eukaryota, Metazoa, Chordata, Mammalia, Carnivora, Phocidae.
UUGCUUCAGCAGCACAUAUGCUAAAAUUGGAACCAUACAGAGAAAAUUAGCAUGGCCCCUGCACAAGGAUGACAUGCAAAUUCAUGAAGCAUACUGUAUUUUU